This 363-nucleotide ribosomal RNA is filed under the name uncultured bacterium. Its description in RNAcentral is "bacterial SSU rRNA". It matches the Rfam family "Bacterial small subunit ribosomal RNA", at positions 29 to 417 of the family's 1533-position model. The record is from RNAcentral.
AGCGAACACUGGCGGCAGGCUUAACACAUGCAAGUCGAGCGGGCGUAGCAAUACGUCAGCGGCAGACGGGUGAGUAACGCGUGGGAACGUACCUUUUGGUUCGGAACAACCCAGGGAAACUUGGGCUAAUACCGGAUAAGCCCUUACGGGGAAAGAUUUAUCGCCGAAAGAUCGGCCCGCGUCUGAUUAGCUAGUUGGUGAGGUAACGGCUCACCAAGGCGACGAUCAGUAGCUGGUCUGAGAGGAUGAUCAGCCACACUGGGACUGAGACACGGCCCAGACUCCUACGGGAGGCAGCAGUGGGGAAUCUUGCGCAAUGGGCGAAAGCCUGACGCAGCGACGCCGCGUGAGGGAUGACGGCCU